Non-coding RNA from Labrus bergylta (ballan wrasse), 775 nucleotides. NCBI's taxonomy places the organism in Eukaryota, Metazoa, Chordata, Actinopteri, Labriformes, Labridae. The record is from RefSeq and is a predicted model, not a curated record.
CUGGUCUAUUUCGUGUCUGUGUGCUUCCCCUUCCUGCUCAGUUUGUCAUAUGUCAACCUCUCUGUCUUACUCUUGGAUUUUUGUUAUGUAACCAGUUUUUCCUCGGGGUAUUUGUGUUUAUUUUGUGUCUUUCCUUUUACUUGGACAUUGUGGAUGUUUGGACUUGGAAACUGAAGCUUUACUUUUUGUUUGGAUGCAAGUGGGUCUUCACCCUUGUUUGUCUACCACUUUGACAUAGAAGCCCUGAGAGGCAGACAAGAAGAAAAAAAAUAUCAGAGACCUUGGAUAACACCUAUUGGUCAAGUUGUUGAUUGAAUGGCGAUUCAGCCAAUCACAGCCGUUUGACCAACCCAUCAGGCCAGUGUAGCGUUUACAGUUGGAUCACGUUGAGGUUACGUGUGCCUGGUUAGAGCUCAGAGACAUCAUGUAGUCACCUUGCAGACCCAGGAGCUCGGGGGCUGUGGAGGAACGCCCCAUGUUUCCAGAGGUCCGGGGUCUUGCUGGAAGCAAAGAGAACUCUGUGCUGUCACGAAAGGGUUCAGACUGAGAGUUCCUCCUCGGCACGCUGUGGACCGACAUCAUGGUUUCAUCUGCAUCUCUCCUCUCAUGCAUCACACACACACACCAUGUUUUUCUGCAAAGACACAAUGUACACACUCAGCGUUCAGCCAGUUAUACCUUCAUGACUCACCAUACAUUCAGUGUAAUGAGUCUGUUUGUAUCUGAGAGUUUAGAGCCAAUAAAUUAACCUCUUUUAUAGCCAUGUCAUGGAUUA